GACGAACGCUGGCGGCGUGCUUAACACAUGCAAGUCGAACGGAAAGGCCCUGCUUUUGUGGGGUGCUCGAGUGGCGAACGGGUGAGUAACACGGGAGUAACCUGCCCUGGACUUUGGGAUAACUUCAGGAAACUGGGGCUAAUACCGGAUAGGAGCUCCUGCUGCAUGGUGGGGGUUGGACAGUUUCGGCGGGUGGGGAUGGACUCGCGGCUUAUCAGCUUGUUGGUGGGGUAGUGGCUUACCGAGGCUUUGACGGGUAGCCGGCCUGAGAGGGUGACCGGCCACAUUGGGACUGAGGUGCGGCAGAGGCUCCUACGGGAGGCAGCAGGGGGGAAUAUUGCACCAUGGGCGGAAGCCUGAUGCAGCAACGCCGCGUGCGGGAUGACGGCCUUCGGGUUGUAAACCGCUUUCGCCUGUGACGAAGCGUGAGUGACGGUAAUGGGUAAAGAAGCACCGGCUAACUACGUG
RNAcentral lists this ribosomal RNA (468 nucleotides) under uncultured bacterium. RNAcentral describes it as "partial 16S ribosomal RNA". It matches the Rfam family "Bacterial small subunit ribosomal RNA", at positions 28 to 507 of the family's 1533-position model. The record is from RNAcentral.